This 774-nucleotide ribosomal RNA is filed under the name Bacillus velezensis. RNAcentral describes it as "bacterial SSU rRNA". It matches the Rfam family "Bacterial small subunit ribosomal RNA", at positions 443 to 1211 of the family's 1533-position model. The record is from RNAcentral. Lineage: Bacteria; Bacillati; Bacillota; Bacilli; Caryophanales; Bacillaceae.
GGAAGAACAAGUGCGAGAGUAACUGCUCGCACCUUGACGGUACCUAACCAGAAAGCCACGGCUAACUACGUGCCAGCAGCCGCGGUAAUACGUAGGUGGCAAGCGUUGUCCGGAAUUAUUGGGCGUAAAGGGCUCGCAGGCGGUUUCUUAAGUCUGAUGUGAAAGCCCCCGGCUCAACCGGGGAGGGUCAUUGGAAACUGGGAAACUUGAGUGCAGAAGAGGAGAGUGGAAUUCCACGUGUAGCGGUGAAAUGCGUAGAGAUGUGGAGGAACACCAGUGGCGAAGGCGACUCUCUGGUCUGUAACUGACGCUGAGGAGCGAAAGCGUGGGGAGCGAACAGGAUUAGAUACCCUGGUAGUCCACGCCGUAAACGAUGAGUGCUAAGUGUUAGGGGGUUUCCGCCCCUUAGUGCUGCAGCUAACGCAUUAAGCACUCCGCCUGGGGAGUACGGUCGCAAGACUGAAACUCAAAGGAAUUGACGGGGGCCCGCACAAGCGGUGGAGCAUGUGGUUUAAUUCGAAGCAACGCGAAGAACCUUACCAGGUCUUGACAUCCUCUGACAACCCUAGAGAUAGGGCUUUCCCUUCGGGGACAGAGUGACAGGUGGUGCAUGGUUGUCGUCAGCUCGUGUCGUGAGAUGUUGGGUUAAGUCCCGCAACGAGCGCAACCCUUGAUCUUAGUUGCCAGCAUUCAGUUGGGCACUCUAGGUGACUGCCGGUGACAAACCGGAGGAAGGUGGGGAUGACGUCAAAUCAUCAUGCCCCUUAUGACCUG